CCCUUAGAUGUUCUGGGCCGCACGCGCGCUACACUGAUGCAUUCAACGAGUCUAAAACCUGGUCUGAUAGGGCUGGGUAAUCUUUUGAAAGUGCAUCGUGAUUGGGAUAGAUGAUUGCAAUUCUUCAUCUUCAACGAGGAAUGCCUAGUAAACGCAAGUCAUCAGCUUGCAUUGAUUACGUCCCUGCCCUUUGUACACACCGCCCGUCGCUCCUACCGAUUGAAUGAUCCGAUGAAUACCAUGGAUUGAGAGUACGAAUGGGUUCGCUCAUUUCUGCUGCUCGAGAAGUGGCGUAAAUCUUAUCAUUUAGAGGAAGGAGAAGUCGUAACA
This 330-nucleotide ribosomal RNA is filed under the name uncultured eukaryote. Its description in RNAcentral is "partial 18S ribosomal RNA". It matches the Rfam family "Eukaryotic small subunit ribosomal RNA", at positions 1470 to 1796 of the family's 1831-position model. The record is from RNAcentral.